UUAUCGGAGAGUUUGAUCCUGGCUCAGGACGAACGCUGGCGGCGUGCCUAAUACAUGCAAGUCGAGCGGACAGAUGGGAGCUUGCUCCCUGAUGUUAGCGGCGGACGGGUGAGUAACACGUGGGUAACCUGCCUGUAAGACUGGGAUAACUCCGGGAAACCG
Molecule: ribosomal RNA, 162 nt
Filed under: Bacillus subtilis
Lineage: Bacteria; Bacillati; Bacillota; Bacilli; Caryophanales; Bacillaceae
Also listed under: 1 other name
Description: partial 16S ribosomal RNA
Rfam family: Bacterial small subunit ribosomal RNA
Source: RNAcentral